Andrographis paniculata is the source of this 4484-nucleotide long non-coding RNA. RefSeq lists it as uncharacterized. Lineage: Eukaryota; Viridiplantae; Streptophyta; Magnoliopsida; Lamiales; Acanthaceae. The record is from RefSeq and is a predicted model, not a curated record. The transcript has 10 exons.
UGUGAUAUACAUGAAAGGAGGUUUCAGAAGUUUGAUGGUGCUCUCGGGAGGGCUGCAUUUCCAUUUCCAUUUCCAUUUCCAUCAGGUAAGGUUUUCUUUCGUCUUCAAGUUUGUUUCCGGUGCAAUAGCGGGAUGAACAACGGCGACCAUUUCAAUCGGUACGGGAAGUGCAGACUACCAUAGGCGCCUGUUUCAUUUCUCCUCCACGACGAUUUAUGGUUCUUUUGAAGGUUUUGGAGGUUCUGGUGCAAUAGUGGAUCAGAUGGGGAAGGGUAAUAGCAAUGCUGCGGACGACCAUGCCCAUGGAUAUGCAGUUUUCUUGAAUCAAGAUUUGAUUCGAGAGUUGUGAUUCGCGAAUGCUAAUCGAGAGUACCAAUCCACAGGUAGUAGACGUUUACAUAGGAUAGGAUAUUCGCUUUGAUUGACUGACUGUUUACAGAUUUUCAAUUUCACAUUGCAGAGUCUUCGUAUACACAUAAACUUGAUUUGGUGCUUCACUUUGAUUUUUUCCUUUGAUAUACGGGGAUUUUCCAUGAAAAUUUAGGGGUUUGAGGAAUUUGGGAAUUUUGGUUUAGGAGGAGGAAUAAAAUUUCAUUGUCUCAAAAAAUCCUUCUCUCACUCGUUUCUUUUUUAUCUUCAAAUUAUUGAUGGUUUGGUUCGGGUUUUUGUUUGAGUUUGGCUGUGGCUAUUUAUUGAUGAUCUAGUUCUUGUUUUGGUUUCUAGGUCUAGGUCUAGUUUGGGUUUGGUUCAGGAGUCGACUCUAACUCAGGUGAUUCUGAGUUGGGUUUGGGUUCAAGUUCAGGUUCGGGUUCGGUUCCGGCUCUGACUCUAACUUAGGUGAUUCUGGGUUGUGUUUGGUUUAGUUCCGGCUCUAACUUGUGCUUGGAUUUGAUUUAGCUCUAGCAUUGGUGCAGUUCUUGUAUGGAUUGGGUUCUAGUUCGUGUUUGGUUCUGACUUUGACUAUGGCUCGGGUGAUUCCGAGUCAAGUUCAUGUUAGUUCUAGCUCUAGCUUGAGCUUGGAUCUGGUUCGGCUCUAGUCUUUGGUGCAGUCCAUGUAUGAGUCAGGUUCUAGCUCGUGUUUAGUUUUGGCUUUGGUCAUGGCUUGAGUGAUUCCGGGUCAGGUUCAAGUUAGUUCCUACUCUAGCAUGGUCCUGGUUCAGGUUCAACUUUGGCUCAGGUGAUUCUGGGUUAGAUUUGAAUCUAGUUUGGUUUUGGUUCUCUAACUCUGCCUUUGGGUUAGGUGGUUCUGAGUCAAAUCCCGGUCUCGAACUCUGUAUAAUCUGGUCCAAUCCUCACCUUUGAUUUUGGCUUAAAAUCCAGCCAAGAUCUAGAUCUAGCUCUUCUUCAUGUUCUAGUUCUAGUUCUAGUUCGUGUCCAUCUUUGCUCUUGUGCAGUUUUUGUUGGGGCCGGUGUCUGACUCUAGCUCUAGCACAGGUGGUUCUCGGUCAGGUUUGAGUUCUGUUCCGGCUUUAGCUCUUGUUUGAUUGGGUUGGAGUCUUGUUCAUAUUAUGGUUCUUCUAGUCUUGCAUUUUUGGUGUGGUUCUUGUUUGGUUUGGGUUUUGAUCUUGUCUGGCUCUAACUCAGGUUGUUCUUUGACAGGUUUAGGCCGGGUUCAUGUUCCUAUUUUGGUUUGGCUCCACUCCUGUUGAUUACAUUGUUUAAUUUUCUAGUUUGUUCUUUUUAGUUUAAAUACUCUCUGUUCAUUGUUCUGUGUUUGUGAUUGAAUUAAAAAAAAAAAAAAAAAAAAAAUUGUAUAAACCUAAACUAGAUUGAUUUUCAUGAAAUUUCUAUCUACAUGCGAGACUAUAUCUUUCAACUUGGUUCACUUUCCAAAUAAUGUUUUCAAGCUCUUUUGACCUAUUUUUCAAUCAAAUAAUCAAAUUAUAUUGCUAUUUUUUGCAUUACAAUCUGAGCUAAACGGCGAGGCAUAAAAAGAUUUGAGUUGACCAUCAUAAGAAAAUUGGCCCAGAUCUUGGCGGGGAAAUCAUGAAGGCAUGCCAUAUGAUGUGCAACAUGAGAUCUUGCAGCCUUGGUGUGACCGAUUAGUGUGUUGUCAUUCAAUGCAUUUCAAUUAGCAAUUGGUCCGUAUCUUGGCGAGGCAAUCAUGAAGGCAUGUCAUAUGAUUUGCAACAUGAGAUCUUGCAGCCAUGGCGUGGCCGAUUAGUGCAUUGUCCUUCAAUUCAUUUCAAUUUAUUGAGUGACAAGUGUACAUAUUCUAAAUUUUCAUCAAGCUUAAUAAAAGAUAAGAUAAAAUAUUAUAUAUAUUUUUUUGUACAUAUACAUAACUUCUCGUUAGCAACCAACUUACAACUUGUGCUAAAAAUAUAAAUGCUUUGCUUUGUUUAGUUGAUAUUUGGGCAGGAAGGUUGGUGAUGCUAUAAAACUUGAAAGCCUAAUGUUCUAUGUCUUUUUUCAUAAUGCUCUGAUCCAUAUAUCUAUUUGAGAGGAGAAAGUUGGGCCAUUCUUGGUAUUUAAACUUUUGGUGCCAACUGGGAGCAAGCUAAUAGUACUUUUGAAACCUUAAUUUUACAACAAUAACCUAUGAUAAAUAUUGCUUUUACUGAUUUUUAUUUUUUAUUUUUUCUCGUCAAGUGGUUGCAAAUUCAAUUGCCCACGAUUUCGUUUGUUUUCUGGAAGAUGGAUGGGUUACAGUAACGAACGAUUUCUUGUCACCUGAAUAAUUCCUUCUCUAAAAGUAAUGACAGAACUCUGUGAGUAGUGCACUCCCUAACUUUCAACUUCAGUUAAUGUUGUGGACUGCUAAUGGUGGUCCUUGUUCUAGGCAGGGUGUAUUUGGUAAGGUAGUGAGUAUGAAUCUGGAUAGGUAAAACAUUACUAUUUUUGAAUAUUUCACUAGUGUUGAUGAGAGGGUGUAUUUGGCAAGUUAGUGAAUAUGAAUCCGGGUGGGUAAAUCAUUACUAAAUUUGAAUAUUACACUAAUGUUGAUGAGAUUUUUGAAAACAGUAAAGUUAAACAAGGAAAACCUGCAUCUACUUGUGAAGAAUUGGUAAGAGAUGAAGCAAAUGAAAAUGGAAUUCUGAUUUUGGGGAACCACACCGAUCAAAUCAGUGAAAGAGGGAGGUUCCAGAAGUUUGGUGCUCUCGGGAGGGCUGCAUUUCCAUUUCCAUUUCCAUUUCCAUUUCCAUCAGGCAAGGUUUUCUUUCGUCUUCAAGUUUGUUUCCGGUGCAAUAGCGGGAUGAACAACGGCGACCGUUUCAAUCGUGCAGACUACCAUAGGAGCAUGUCUCAUUUCUCCUCCACGACGGUUUAGGGUUCUUUUGAAUAGUGGAUCAGAUGGGGGAAUAGCAAUGCUGCGGACGACCAUGCCCAUCGAUGUGUAAGUUUCUUGAAUCAAGGGUUUGAUUCGAGAGUUGUGAUUUGCGAAUGCUAAUCGAGAAUACCAAUCCACAGGUGAUUCUGGUUUUGGCUUCAGUCAAGCUCGGGCUAGUUCAUGUUUUGGUUUCUAGGUCUAGCUCUUGUCGGGAGUUCUAGCUGGGGAUCGGUUAUGACUCUUACCCUGGCUCAGGUGAUUCUGAGUUGGGUUUGGGUUCAAGUUCAGUGUUCUAAUGACGAAAGAUUCUGCCAUUUCAACAAUUCCUGCUCUGGGAGCAAUAUGACAGUGUGCUGUGAGAAAUGGGAUUUCUAACUUCAACGUCAAAAGUAUUACAGGGAUUUCACGAGCAAAUUGAUGUUCUUUGACCGUGAUUGCCAAAUCUUGCUGGAACUGAAUUUUUGCUAGUAAUGUCUAAGGGGGGUUACAGUAAUAUGACACAACUCUGUGAGGAGUAGCGCACUCUCUAACUUUCAACUUCAGUUGAUGUUGUGGACUGCUAUUGGUGGUCCUUGUUCUAGGCAUGGUGUAUUUGGUAAGGUAGUGAGUAUGAAUCUGGGUGGGUAAAACAUUACUAAUUUUGAAUAUUUUACUAAUGUUGAUGAGAGGGUGUAUUUGGCAAGGUGGUGAGUAUGAAACCGGGUGGGUAAAACAUUACUAAAUUUGAAUAUUUCACUAAUGUUGAUGAGAUUUUUGAAAACAGUAAGGUUGGUUGGUUAACCAAGGAAAAUUCUGCGUCUACUUGUGAAGAAUUGGUAAGAGAUGAAGCAAAUGAAAAUGGAAUUCUGAUUCUGGGGAACCACACCGAUCAAAUCAGUGAAUUUAGCUGACCUUGAGGGCAAUUUUUUUAAUUUUAUUUUUAUUAUUAUUCUCAUUAAUUUUUAAUUCUUCAAUUAAUCCUCUCAUUUGCAUACACCUUGACCUCGACCUUAAGAGUAAUAUUUCUUAUCCCACCUUCAAUUUUUGGUUUCUCAUGCUUUCUUUGCCUUGUUUGUGUGUAUAUGAUUAAUUGACUUUGUUAUUAAUGCGUGUAUAUUUUUUUGUUUCAUAAUUUUCUUUUCUCUGUCUUUAUAAUGCUUUUAUAACAAUGUUCCCAAGUAAGAUGCAUUCAAUUGAUUUUCUUUUUCUUUUUUCUUUUAUUUAUUGUGCACUU